RNAcentral lists this ribosomal RNA (253 nucleotides) under uncultured bacterium. RNAcentral describes it as "partial 16S ribosomal RNA". It matches the Rfam family "Bacterial small subunit ribosomal RNA", at positions 524 to 776 of the family's 1533-position model. The record is from RNAcentral.
UACGGUGGGGGCAAGCGUUGUUCGGAAUUACUGGGCGUAAAGGGCUCGUAGGCGGCCAACUAAGUCGGAUGUGAAAUCCCCAAGCUUAACUUGGGAACUGCAUCCGAUACUGGAUGGCUUGAAUCCGGGAGAGGGAUGCAGAAUUCCAGGUGUAGCGGUGAAAUGCGUAGAUAUCGGGAGGAACACCCGUAGCGAAGGCGGCCGACUGGACCACACCUGACGCUGAGGCGCGAAGGCCAGGGGAGCGAACGGG